Molecule: ribosomal RNA, 492 nt
Filed under: uncultured bacterium
Lineage: Bacteria
Description: partial 16S ribosomal RNA
Rfam family: Bacterial small subunit ribosomal RNA
Source: RNAcentral
AGUGAACGCUGGCGGUAGGCCUAACACAUGCAAGUCGAACGGCAGCACAGUAAGAGCUUGCUCUUACGGGUGGCGAGUGGCGGACGGGUGAGGAAUACAUCGGAAUCUACUUUUUCGUGGGGUAUAACGUAGGGAAACUUACGCUAAUACCGCAUACGACCUACGGGUGAAAGCAGGGGAUCUUCGGACCUUGCGCGAUUGACUGAGCCGAUGUCGGAUUAGCUAGUUGGCGGGGUAAAGGCCCACCAAGGCGACGAUCCGUAGCUGGUCUGAGAGGAUGAUCAGCCACACUGGAACUGAGACACGGUCCAGACUCCUACGGGAGGCAGCAGUGGGGAAUAUUGGACAAUGGGCGCAAGCCUGAUCCAGCCAUACCGCGUGGGUGAAGAAGGCCUUCGGGUUGUAAAGCCCUUUUGUUGGGAAAGAAAAGCAGCAGGUUAAUACCCAGCUGUUCUGACGGUACCCAAAGAAUAAGCACCGGCUAACUUCGUG